GGGUUUAUCCGUUGGUCGGGCUUUUGGGUCUGUACUGGCGCGAUGAAUUCCUACCUUCUGAAUAACCAGCAUGUCAUUAAUUUGGUGUUUUGGGGAAUUUGGACUGUUACUUUGAAAAAAUUAGAGUGUUUAAAGCAAGCUAACGCUUGAAUACAUUAGCAUGGAAUAAUGAAAUAGGACGUUCGAUCCUAUUUUGUUGGUUUCUAGGAUUGACGUA
RNAcentral lists this ribosomal RNA (217 nucleotides) under Campeiostachys nutans. RNAcentral's name for it is "Elymus nutans partial small subunit ribosomal RNA". The stretch from base 48 to 217 matches the Rfam family "Eukaryotic small subunit ribosomal RNA", at positions 693 to 864 of the family's 1831-position model. Lineage: Eukaryota; Viridiplantae; Streptophyta; Magnoliopsida; Poales; Poaceae. The record is from RNAcentral.